UACAGAGGUGGCAAGCGUUGUUCGGAAUUACUGGGCGUAAAGGGCGCGUAGGCGGCCCACUAAGUCAGACGUGAAAUCCCCCGGCUUAACCUGGGAACUGCGUCUGAUACUGGAGGGCUUGAGUAUGGGAGAGGGAUGUAGAAUUCCAGGUGUAGCGGUGAAAUGCGUAGAUAUCUGGAGGAACACCGGUGGCGAAGGCGACGUCCUGGACCGGUAUUGACGCUGAGGCGCGAAAGCCAGGGGAGCAAACGGG
This 253-nucleotide ribosomal RNA is filed under the name uncultured bacterium. Its description in RNAcentral is "partial 16S ribosomal RNA". It matches the Rfam family "Bacterial small subunit ribosomal RNA", at positions 524 to 776 of the family's 1533-position model. The record is from RNAcentral.